CCUACGGGAGGCAGUAGUGGGGAAUAUUGCACAAUGGGGGAAACCCUGAUGCAGCGACGCCGCGUGAGUGAAGAAGUAUUUCGGUAUGUAAAGCUCUAUCAGCAGGAACGAGACAAGACGGUACCUGACUAAGAAGCCCCGGCUAACUACGUGCCAGCAGCCGCGGUAAUACGUAGGGGGCAAGCGUUAUCCGGAAUCACUGGGUGUAAAGGGAGCGUAGACGGCUGUGCAAGCCUGAAGUGAAAGGCGGGGGCCCAACCCCGGGACUGCUUUGGGAACUGUACGGCUGGAGUGCAGGAGAGGUAAGUGGAAUUCCUAGUGUAGCGGUGAAAUGCGUAGAUAUUAGGAGGAACACCAGUGGCGAAGGCGGCUUACUGGACUGUAACUGACGUUGAGGCUCGAAAGCGUGGGUAGCAAACAGGAUUAGAUACCCCUGUAGUC
This 441-nucleotide ribosomal RNA is filed under the name uncultured bacterium. RNAcentral describes it as "partial 16S ribosomal RNA". It matches the Rfam family "Bacterial small subunit ribosomal RNA", at positions 338 to 795 of the family's 1533-position model. The record is from RNAcentral.